Molecule: long non-coding RNA, 976 nt
Organism: Canis lupus familiaris (dog)
Lineage: Eukaryota; Metazoa; Chordata; Mammalia; Carnivora; Canidae
Exons: 3
Source: RefSeq, a predicted model, not a curated record
AGAAAUCUGACAAAUGUCAGAAAUUUAGUUGGGUGUGGGGUGUUGUUUCUUAGGGAUGCAGAAAAGAGACAGAAGGAUUUGUGGUUCUGGUCAGUUUUAUUCCUGUUUCCCUGUAACCCUGAGCAAAGUCUUUAGUCUCUAGACCUAAAUAGCGUCAUUUGUAACUUGAUAAGCUGAGAACCACCUGUCGUUCAAAAUACAGGUGCCAAAACUUGCUGUCUCCUCUCAAGCUGUUGUGGGGGAACCAUUAUGGGAUGAGCAGUGAAACCUGUGCAGAGUGGUCAGAUGUCAGAGUUUUUCCUUGAGAAGCUUUCUGGAUGAGGAGGAAGGACGUAGGAAUUCUGAUUCUUAUCAGCCCAGAUGGCCAUGGGGUACAGUGGAAAGAGCACAAAGUCCCUCCUAGGGUCAGAAUUGCUAUUCCCAUUCAUUGGUCAUCAUGGGCUAGCUGUUCACCUUCUCUGAGUCUCUGUACCUCAUUUAUUAAUAUUUGCCUUAAGGUCAAAUGAAAUAUGUUGAAAGCUCAAAGUCCUUAAUAUGAAACGUGGGGGGUUACCUUAAAGCCUUUGUUGAGAAGUCAAUAUUAUCACCCUGGAGAUACUCUGAAAAAUGUGGCACUCCAGCUUCAGCCACAAGCCCCCAUACUACCCUGCCCUAGCUCUUGGACUGCAGUGGAGCUUGGAGGAAUAUAUGUGUGAACCACUCAUGAGGCAUCUGUUUUGUUCCAGACAUUGUGCUCUCCUGUAUUUUUGUUACCAUGCACACUACAAGUUUAACAGGGAACUGUGAAAAUUAUUUUCACCAAAGUAAAACAUUCAGAGAAAUUCCCUGACUUAUUUUGGUGAUGUACAAUCACUCCAAAAUAUGUAGGCCUUCUGGGAAGAGCGAUGACAAUCAUUGCACCCCUUGCUCCAAUACGGCAAUCAGAAUACUUUAGGAAUACAUUUUGUCAAAAAAAUAAAAGAAUACAUUUUGUCAA